AUUGAACGCUGGCGGCAGGCCUAACACAUGCAAGUCGAGCGGAUGAAGGGAGCUUGCUCCUGGAUUCAGCGGCGGAAGGGUGAGAAAUGCCUAUGAAUCUGCCUGGCAGUGGGGGAUAACGUCCGGAAACGGGCGCUAAUACCGCAUACGUCCUGCGGGUGCAAGUGGGGGAUCUUCGGACCUCACGCUCUCAGAUGAGCCUAGGUCGGAUUAGCUAGUUGGUGGGGUAAAGGCCUACCAAGGCGACGAUCCGUAACUGGUCUGAGAGGAUGAUCAGUCACACUGGAAGUGGAACACGGUCCAGGCUCCUACGGGAGGCAGCAGUGGGGAAUAUUGGGCAGUAGGCGGAAGCCUGAUCCAGCCAUGCCGCGUGUGUGAAGAAGGUCUUCGGAUUGUAAAGCACUUUAAGUUGGGGGGAAGGGCAGUAAGUUAAGACCUUGCUGUUUUGACGUUACCGACAGAAUAAGCACCGGCUAACUUCGUG
Molecule: ribosomal RNA, 484 nt
Filed under: uncultured bacterium
Lineage: Bacteria
Description: partial 16S ribosomal RNA
Rfam family: Bacterial small subunit ribosomal RNA
Source: RNAcentral